AAGAGCCUCCUGCCGUGCGCCUCGUCCACCGUCACGUACCCGGCGUAGUGCUUCGACGGCAGCGCGCCGCUGCCCGCCGUGUACCCCGGGACGCUCGUCACCAGUGCACCCGGCGGCGCGGCGUGGCAGCAGCGAGCGAAAAAGGCCGAGGACACCACUACUACCACCAGCAGCAGCAGCAGCGGCGGGAGGGGUGGAGGAGCCGCGGUAGAGCCGCCGCGUGCCAUUGCUGCGAGAGUGUGUGGGAGCUCGGUGCGCGCGGAGCUAGGAGUGACGACUCCGUGCCCUGACCGGAAUGGAUGGAGCGCGUUUAAAUACAGAAGAUGAGCUGCCGGCCGGCUGCGACGUGUAUGUAGAGAGUGUGUUAAGGAAUGGUGACGUUGACGACAAAGCCGGCGGCGCCCGGCGGUUGUGUUGUGUCAGUGUGUUCGAUAUCGUACGUCAGUGUGUGUGUGUGUGUGUUGGAAUUCUCACCGUCUCAGCCUACCCACUAAGACUUGAGUCACCCAAUGCAAGUCGGCCGGGCCACGCCAGGAUAUGUUGACCAGGUGACGGAUUUUGCAAAAGGAGAAGCGAGUCAGUUGAUGUUUUCCAACACCAUCCAUGUGUAUGACGGUAUAUAAUAUGGUCUGUGCUUCUCUCGCAAGGUUUCAUAUAUAUAUAUAUAUAUAUAUAUAUAUAUAUAUAUAUAUAUAUAUAUAUAUAUAUAUAUAUAUGUUAUCUCUUCUCCUGUCGAUGCAUGGCAUAAUAUUCUCCGGCGAGCUGAGAUUAAGUAUGGAGCUGAGAUGAUGUCAUUCCGGAAGACGCCAAGUUCCACUACAACCCUAGAUUGGAAUUGAAUAGUGCAAACAAGAACGAACACUUGUAGAAGCUUUGAGUGUAGGGCAAACAUUUGUACAACCUUUAACCGGCGGCCGAACACUUGAUUACUUGUAUAUUAUUGUAAAUGUAAUGUGUAUGUACGUAUAUGUAUAGCUCUAUAAUAUAUAUAUAUAUAUAUAUAUAUAUAUAUAUAUAUAUAUAUAUAUAUAUAUAUAUAUAUAUACAUGAUAGUUUCAUACUUUAUUUGUGUGUGCAAUAAUAACGCUCUAGUAUAGGUGUAACGUAUACGAUAAUAGCAGUGAAGAAUAAAUUGGAAAACAAUAUAAUUGAAAACCAAAAUAAAAAAUGAAUUGAAAAGAAAAAGAAAAAAAAUUUAGUCCCGGUUUGUAAUACCAACCGGGACUAAAAGGGGCUGCGCCACGUCAGUUAGUGGCAUGCCCUUUUGUUCCGGUUGGUAAUACCAACCGGGACUAAAUAUCCCCUUUAGUACCGCAUCUGUGAACCAGGACUAAAAGUGGGACAUUUAGUCUUGAAACCUUUGUCCCGGCUCGCAGCCCAGGACUAAAGGCCUGUUUCAACUUUCAGUGGUAGGAAUAAUCAGGGUUUAGAACUGCCGGUGCCCGGCGGAGAACAAACAGUGUGAGCAGCAGGAAUAAUCAGGGUUUAGAGGUGCCUGUUCCCUUGAGCUUAUCUGCUGAUGAAUGUGUCAGCAGUGUUUUUCUCUUAUAAUAAAUCUGCGAACAAUACUUCCAGUCAUAACUUAUGAGUGAAACAAACAAUAGAUGGCCGGCAGCGAGAGGUCAAUUAAGUGACGCCCAUCCCAAUGAGUGGGUUGAUGACAGCUGCGAGAGUGGAUGCAGGCUCGAGAUCCGGCAACGUCUAUCGACCGCUGGAGAGAUACGAUAUGAAGAUAGGCCGAUACGGCAUGGCCAUGACGCGAAGCAAAGAUAGUGGUUAUGCACCGUGCAACAAGCAGCAAGCUAAGAUAUCAUAUGGACGGGUCGGAUGUGGGAGGAGUGGUGUGGUGUUAGUAGUGGCCACGGUGCACCAGCAACACACCAUAUGGCCGGUGAGUGUGUGUGUGUGUGAGGAGGGCAGGAAAAGGGGCACUCGUGGUGUCUAAUAAUAUCUGUAUAUGCAUGGGUGAUGGAUGGAUAUUGAAAGUUUUUUUCGCUCAAGUGGAUCGGAUCAAAUGGGAAUCGUUAUCACGGGUGCAAGUGUAGCAAUUAAUGUAAAGAUUGACCACUUUUUCCAAAUAAAGAAAGAGCUUUGUCAAGGAGACCUAGGCCUGUUAAUCUACUCUUUUGUUCAACAUUGUUGCUGACAUGCAUAUUAAUGAUCCUUAUAAAUACAGCCAAAAGAAGAACGGUAGUUAAUUGGCCUUGUUUAGUUCAAAAAAUUUUAGAAAAUUGACACCGUAGCACUUUCGUUUGUAUUUGACAAAUAUUGUUCCAAUCAUGGACUAACUAGGCUCAAAAGAUUUGUCUCGUCAAAUUCAACCAAACUGUGCAAUUAGUUUUUAUUUUCGUAUAUAUUUAAUACUCCAUGCAUACGUCUAAAGAUUCGAUGUGACGGAAAAUCUGAAAAAUUUUGCAAAAUUUUUUAGAAACUAAACAAGGCCUAAGGCUAGAUUAAAAACAACUACCAUCAACCCAUAUCCACAAACCCUAGGCCAACCUCCAGUCUCUUAUUAUACCCCCUUCAUGACACACAAUCUCUCUCUCUCUCCUCAGCCAUUGAUGCCCUUCUGGCCUUCUUCACCUGCUAUGGUUCCUCACACUAGUACAUAGAAGCUCUAUACAGCGUGGUUCCUAACCUAUUUGCACAGUCAUUUUUUAAACCGCCAGUGCUAGAGGCUAGUGGAAAUAAAUCUUUCCACGGGCGGUUAACUGCCUGUGGAAAACGAUUUUCACAUGCGGUUCAGUUAUGUCAACCGCUUGUGCAAAUGCUUGUACAGAAAAUAUAAAUUGGGUUUUAAAAAUAGGAAAAAAAAAAUUGUAGGAAAGGUCUGAAGCGUCAAGUUGCGCAUUUUUCGCGUAAAAUCAUGUCCUACACGGCUGGCGAAAUUCGAACCCACGACCUCCCCAACGCGCGUAGUCUCCUCUACCACUCCACCGAUCACUCACUUGUGUCUAUAUUAGAGUUUAGUUUCUCACAUAUUAUCCUAAAUCAAGCAUACAUUGAUUUGUUGAGGCCCUAAAUGAAUUCAAAUGAAAAAGUUGUCAACUAUAAAGUUUCAUAAAUUUUCAAGAUCUAUAACUUUUAUAAUAGUAGUUUCUCCAUCCAAGGUUAUUUACAAAAUUUGAAUUUCAAAUUUGAUAAAUUUGAAUGUAGUUUUUGAUGAUAUAUGAUUUCAAAUGAAAAUGUUAUCAGCUACAAAGGUUCACAACUUCUCGAGAUCUACAACUUUUAUUUUGAUGGUUUUUUCAUACGAGGUCAUUUGAAAACUCAAAGAAAUCAGUUUCAAAUUAUUUCUACAAGCGGUUUUCUUAACAAACCACCACUAGAAAUCUAAUUUUUAGUGGCAGUUUCUUAAGAAAGCCGUUUACAUGAUUUCUAGUGGCGGUUUUGGUAGGAAAACCGCAUGUGCAAAUCUAUUUUCACUGGCGGUUCACUUAAGAGAAUCGCUAGUGAAAAUCCACCAUUUGUACUGACGGUUUUCUCAGUGAAAAUGUGUUUCCACUGGUGGUUCUUGAGUCGGGCCCACCAAUUUAUUUUCACAGACAUUUUUAAAUUGAAACCGCCUAUAAAAAUUAUGCUCCACCGCCAGCAUAGAGCUUUUUUACUAAUGUCACACACCGACGACCAAGCUGUCGUCACCCAAACGGUGGCGGCGGCUGCCCCUUCAUCUCAUUAUCCUAGCAGCCCCACCUUUCCUCUCCUAUGGCGACUACGAGGAGCACCCUACCCUGACCCGAUGGGGACAAGGUGCAUUCAGUAGGGGAAAGGUGGAUAUGAUCACUACUUAACCACGGCAGGCAAAAACAUUUAACUGAGGCGGUUUUUACAACCGCAUCAAACAAAAGAUCACAGUUAAUCGUGGCCUUAACCGAGGCGGUUGCCCCGCUCGCCUUGGUAAAUCGAGUAAACAAAUAGAAAAACACUACUACCUAAAAAAUGAGGCGGGCAAAAAUAGCUUAACUGAGGCGUUUUGGCCAACCGCCUCGAAUCAAAGGUCACAGUUAAUAUGACAUUUUUUGAGACGGUUUGAUGCCCACCUCGGUUAAUAAAUUAAAAAAAGUGAAUAAGCCCAUCGAUGGGCCUGCCGAGCCCAUCCACACUGCUGCUGGCUAGACUCGCCAUUGCCGGCACCCUAUCGCAGAUCCACAAGUAGGGGAGGCAGGAGCGCCGCCAGCCUACUGAUCACCCGGUGGGGUAGAUCGACUGCGACACCCUGACCCUGGCUCCUUGGUCCACGUAGGAGCUCCACCUGAUCCGACAUAGAGGAGGAUAACAUGAGGGAGAAGGGGCUCCACCGGUCUGUCGCGCCCGCGCCGCUUGUCCAUCGAGCCCGUUAUGCCCACUUCGUCACACCUCGAUGACGGUUGUGGCAAAGGAGGGCGGCAUGGGGGAUAAGGGGCUUUGGCGAUCUGCUGAUGAGGUCACAGGCUCCUCCUGGCCAUCAGGGUGCGUUCUCCUGGCCGUUAGGGUCGUGAUCUCUUAGCCGCUGGCACUACUAGAGAACAGAUCUUUCGUCGAUGUGCCAAAUGAGCUUUAGUCUCGGUAUUUUUGGCGCCCGGGACAAAAGAGAUCUUUAGUCCUGGUUGGUAAAGCCAACCGGGACUAACAGUCCCUCCCCAACGGCUCCGGUGUCAGGCGCUGUCGGGGAGGAACCUUUAGUCCCGGUUGGUAACACCAACCAGGACUAAACCCUCCCCGCUAUAAAUUGAAUCUCCCUCCUCCCUUCUUCCUCUCCCUGCCCGAGCCCGAGGUCCUUUGUUCUUGCUUGUUCUUCCAUUGUUCUUGCUUGUUAUUGCUCUCAUCUCCCGCGAUCGAUCCAUUUCAACGCUUCUACGCCGUCGUCGAUUUGUUUGAAAGGUUGCUAGCUUCAUCUUCCUAUGUUUCUCACCGCCAUAUGUAAUUUCAUAUUGGACAUAUGUCUAUUUUAAUUAUUUCAUGUUUCUAUCUCUCCAAUCAUCAUCUUCUCAUGUUUGAAUUUUUUUGAACGAUGCUAAGUGUGUGCCCGCUAGAAACUAGUUUACACAAAUCAUUACUACUAUGUAUACACAAAUCAUGUUUAGUUCUAUUAUAAAUAUUAUAGGAUAUUUUUUACUUUAAUAUGGUCAUGUUCUUAUUUUAAAAUAUUAAUAAUAUAAUUUUUGUUGUAAUUGUUAAAUAAAUUGUUUUUCACUUUAAAAAUUCUUGAAAUUAAUUUUCUUUAGUGAUAAAAUUAUAGCUUCUAAUAGAAAAAUUACAGUUCCAUGAUAAUGCAACUAAUGUCACGCCAUUGGAUGUACAAUGCCGAUCGCCGCUCCAACGAGUUCAUUGAGGGCGUGCGAGAAUUCCGCAGAGUGGCAGAGCAAAAUAAGCGGGACGGUUUUAUGUGUUGUCCAUGUGCCGUGUGUAAGAAUUUUCAAACUCAAGAGAAAUGCACUUGCACUUGUUCACGAAUGGUUUCAUGCCAAACUAUAUUUGUUGGACCAAACACGGAGAGACCGGGGUUAUGAUGGAAGAAGGUGAAGAAGAGCAAGCGUACCCUGACGAUGUUUUUGCUCAAUACUGCGACUUUGCAGUAGAGGACAAAGGUGAAGAAGAUGGGGAUGCAGGAAACAGUAUCGUUGAUGAUGACGAUGCUCUUGGUGAUGUCAUUCGCGAUGUACAGAGAGAUUGCGAAAGCUACCAAUGGCAUUAAAGGCAUAAAUGUGAAACCCUAUCAAAAGGUGCCAAACAACAGAUUUCUGAUUUUUCUUAGCUUUGCAAUCACAUGAUUACAUCACUCAGCAAGUUUCAUCAUAAAAGGAGUUAUAAUUUAUUUAUUAGAAAUACCACAAUAAACUCCUUUUUAAACAAGGGAUAUUUAUAACUCUACCAAUAGGCAUCCAAAAAUCAUGAGAAAUUCACCAGAGCCUGCACAUAGCAUAAACAACCAUCUCCUAAAUUUGCAUGGUCAUAGGACUUACAGAUCUCAAGAUAUAGUUACCUUCUCUUUAUCAAGGAUUAAAUCAUAUCUAUUUAUUUCUAUAAAAACAUGGCAUGUUUCAUAUUUUUAUUAAAAACUAGACUAACUCAAGAGUGUGACAAAAUUCGAAACACUUUAUUUGGAUCUGUCUUGCUCAAGUUAUGAAUUUUCUAAAACAGCAUUGAGUCUGCCAAAAACAGAAAUAGGAGAAAAGAGGGACAGUGGCUGAAGAGGGACCCACUGGUCACUGGGAGCCGCUCGACAGUGACACAGAGACAGGGGACAGCUCGUCGCCGGUGAAACUCGACGACGGCGAGGUCUCGGCUGAAUCCAAGGGCACAAUCGUGACCCUCUCCCCAAGGCGGACCUAAUGAGGUACAAAACCCUCACUCUACCGAGCUCAAGGGGGUUCGCCGGCGUGAAUGGCGGCUCAGUGGCGCUGCGGGCGAUACGCCAGCAUGCUCAGUCGAUGCCGACCCAGUUGAAGUUCACGCCGAGCAUCAGUGAGUCAAGGGGAAGCUCUAGGAACAAAAAUGGAAGGAAAUGGUGGAGCAGAAAGGCCUGGCCACGUUGCCGAUGAGCACGGCGGAACUCCAGUGAGGAAGAAGCCGCUCGGAGCUCGGCAAUGCCGCCUUACCCGUGCUCGACAGAGGCAAUGAAGGCGACGUCGAGGUGGAGGAAGCUCUGGCGGAGCUUUUAGCGGGCUAGCUUGGCCGGAGAUGGGGAGGAGAGCUCGGGCGGAGUCACUGACUCGCGGUGGAGCUCGCCGAGGAAGAGAGCGGAGAGAAGAGAGGGCGCUGGAGAGGGAAUGGAGGCCGGCUGCCGCUCGGGGGGGCGUCGUGGUGUCCAAGUGGAGGUGUUGGGGCUGACAGGCGGGGUCGCGGUCGACGUACGGCCACCAUGGGGCUUCCACGCGUCGAUCAGCUAGUGACUGGCGAAACUGAAUCGGUUGAUUCAGUCACCGUCGACUGUGAUUGAAACCCGAUCUUCGUCGACGUUUUACUCACGAUUCACUAGGUAGUUUUUGCUCGGAUUUGUCCCAAUGGAUAGAGCUACACGAGUUCUACAAGUUUGCUUAAAGGAUCAAAGUCUGGUUUGACCUAGAAUUCAAACUACAAGGCUCCCAAGUACCCUAUCUCGAAACUGCAGAACCCAGACUUAGCCAAAUUCGCCUAAGUGUUGGAAACAACACUGAUUUCUAUCUUGCGGGCCACUUUUGGUCAGGUUCCAACCAUUUUUAUGAGAAGGUACCAAAACAACUUUUGUAGCUUACAAAAUUUAUACAACUUUGCUUUAGAGAUCAAUUAGAUGCAAGGUCUCUAACACUGGUUUCAUAAAAGAUCUUUGAAAAGAGGUUUAGGGGGUCAACUAGGUCAAACUAGGGCUAACCAUGACUUGGGGGCAUCUUUGGAUGAAACUCCCAACAUAAACUUUGUUCCAAAUGAUAUUCUAAACAUGAAUAAAGUAUUUUGGAAGACAAUGUGUACUUGUAUACAUUGGUCAUACAUUACUUUACACAUAUAACAAGCUAUCUAAGCAAUUCAAUCACAUAUUGCAUACACCAAAAUGACAUGUGAUCAUGGUAUUGUGCUCAUGAGUGAGUAUGAUGAUGCUUAUGUUGUUGAAAUGCUUAUGGUUAACAUGCAAGCUAACACUAGGAGUGUUACAGUAUAAAUAUAUGUCCACUUGUAGAAUCAUUCUUAUUCAUUCAUAUAUAUAUAUAUAUAUAUUCAUCUUUAUAUUUCUACCUAGUCCAUAAAAUGGUAGAUUCAUACUGAUAUUACUUCUAGCUUAGUUGCUAGGGAUGACAACCUAGUUUAAUGCUAUGAGGUAUAGGUUAAUAAAAGGUGACUACUCUAUUGGUGACAAGCUAAUAAUUAUCAUAACAUUUAUUUGUGUUGUUACUAAUUUAGUGAUUGCGUUAAUUAAUGUCAACAAGCAUUUUUAGCACUUUUGCUGGGGAUGUUAUAUUAACUUAGGAAGUAAUGAUAACUUUAUGUUUAUGAUGAGAUUGAUUGAUCAUUGAACCCUAAUCAAACAGACUUACACUUGUUUUGUCUACUUGUGCAUCUUAUGUAGGGAAAUGUAUGACUGGUUUUGACCUUCGGACAAACUAUGUUAAAAAUUUAGAAGCAUUAAUCAAGGGAACCAAAGCUAAACUAAAAAAAGUUUCCUCUUCAAGUUUAGAAGACAACCAUAUAAGAAGAAGCUUCACACCAGAAUUUGACACUAUAGCCAACAAAAGUCUUCGCUAUCCUCUGCUUCGACUACUGCUAACAUUCGGACAGGACCUAAAGUCAAUGUUGGAGACAAUAGAUUCGAGCUAAAGCCUGCACUCAUCACUAUGGUGCAAGCUCACCAAUUUUGUGGAAAGUCUCAUGAAGAUGCAAGUGCACACUUACAACAUUUUCUAGAGGUUCAAGUGCACCUUCACCACCAAGGGAGUAACUAUAGAUGUUAUUCUACUCUACCUUUUUUCCAUUUUCACUAUUGGGGAAAGCUAAACAUGGGUUCUAUGCUAACAAUGCAGAUGUACUCACUGAUGACGUUCGGUUAUGGUCACUAAUGACUACAUUUUGGUCACAGAGUUUCAUUUGUGACGACUUUGUGACGAUUUUGUCUUCGUCAUGUCGGUAUAACAAUCACUCUCCACUCAUUUACUUAGUUACAUACCUUGGUAGUUGUUUAGCUUAUUUAGCUUAGUCUUAUUGUUUAGGAGUGUAGAGAGCCUUUAGUUGUUCUUUCUUGUUGUGACUUAGUGUUUAGCUUUCUUGCUAGACUUAUGUAGGUGGCUUGCAUAGCUCAGUUGUGAUAGUGCUAGAAUAGCCUUGCCAUUUGUUUUACUAACACACUUGCUUAGUGAAAUUUGUAGAGUUUUAAAGAAAUUUGUAGAAUUUUAAAUAGGCUAUCCAUCCCCCCUCUAGCCGUUUGGACCUUUCACUAGCCAAUCCCCAAUAUAGUGCUCCAAGUUGUUAUCAUUUAUUCUCUUAAAGUUUUCAUUAGAGAUUGGGCUAUUUCCUGCUUAAAAAAGAGAAGAAAGAAAAAUCAAAAGAAGAAGAAAAGAGAAAGAACCCCAGUUUUCAAAAGUUCCAAAAAUGAGGGAAGUUACACUUUGUAAAGGAGCACUAUAGAAUUAUUCUUUCACCCUUUCUCCCUUCCACAAAUAUUUGUUCAUUUGAAACCACACAUGUACAUCUUGAUCUAAGGGUAUGGUCUCCCCUCCGAGGAUCCUAGUUUGACUAGGCAAUAUAUGCAAGGUAAGUAUGUCAUAUCCUUGAAAUACCCUCAGCUCCACAUAUGCCAUUAGUUAUAAGAGAGAAUAGGUAAGGCACAAUGUUUCAUUGCCUUAUGCCAAGAAUACUACAUAUCUCGAGAGGAGAGAAGGCAAAACACCAUUGUUGCCUUGGAAAGGAAUCCACAAAUACCACAAAUGAGAGACUUGAAGGGAUCAUACAAAGAAAUCUCUGAGUUUUAUUUCAAAAACCUUGCAAAACUCCAGAAAGAAGGUUGAUCAAAGAGUUCAAAAUGGAGCUUGAUUAAACUGUUAUAUCUUUCAAUUACUCAAGACCCAAGUGAAAGCAAUAAGCUCUAUAGUUGAAGGUAAUAUGGAUAAGUUUGAAGACUGAGCAGUUUGUCAAUUUUCUGGUAGAAGAAUUUUUGUUUGAAUACAUGUGUAUUUCUAAGGUGUGAAAGCAUUGCAGCAACUCCAGAUCUAUUAUGGUAGUUUGCUAAGGGACUAGCAAAAGUCAAACAUGGGGGAGCUUGUUGAUGAUCCAUAACGUCAACAUUAUACCUUCAAUUAAUUCACAAUAUAAUGGCAAAAGAGUUAUUAGUGCGUAGUUGUAUGGUUUAUUCUAACAAGUUUCACGAGUUGUGUUGAUCUCACCUCUUUUGCAGGACUAUUGAUAUUUUACCACAUAAAAGUAUCACAAACGAUGAAAUAAAGUACACCAUUGCAAAGAGCUUGUUGAGACGAUUCAAAGAGACAUUUCAUUUGCUAUAUUUGGAAUCCCGACGAGAGAGUCCCCGAUUUAUAUGCCCAAGAAUUCUCUAGAAUACUCCAAAAGCAUCACCAAGCCAAAGUUUUAUGGACUAACAUGACAAUUUCCACAACUUUGGUGAAUGAUGAAUUUUUAGGGAUAAAAAUAGAAUACACCGAUGAAGAGUAGGAGCCAAGGAAUCGAACCAAAUCAAGUAAGAAUUCUACAAAGACCGAUGGGAAGGUUCUAGAGGACACCAGAAGACACAACAACAAAAUAGGAGCACGACGCUGGGCAACUGGGGCUAGCCGGUGUUGGGUAUUCUUAACAACAUUACCAAAAGUAGACUAAGUUCUCUAAAUCUAGUAACGGUGCCAAAAAUGCCAAACCUAUCCCUCAUAUCACUUAAGCCAAGUUGUCAUCCCCAGCAUGAUAUAAGAGACGCGGUAUUGAAAUAUGCAAUUGCUCUUCUAAAUAAAUAAUGAAUGGGAUCUGCAAGCGCAUAGAUUAAUACCGAUGUAGCAUUUUAACCGGGAAGUAUUCCAGGUAUCGUUAUUUAUAUUUUUACCACUGGGAAGGGAUUAACAAUCAUCACUAUUGAUUACAGAAUAGAAUAUGAGAUUGAGCAUAUAUCAUUACAAGUAUAAUUGAGAACAGUUAUCUAACUCUUCAUACAGGGAUAAGUGUCACAUAAAAGAUAUAUGAAGUAAUAAAUAGUGACAAGGAUAAUUAAUCUGAUGAGCCACAUAUAAAUAUGAUAAGCACCUCAAUUAGAUAUUCUAGAAAGUCAUUAGCAUGGUAUUAGAACGAACUACAAGAAUAUUCCCUAAGUUAUUCUCAACUAUAUAGUCUAGCAUUAUCAUAGUUAGUGCAAGCAUACUUAGCAAUCAUUGUGAGACAAGACUACGCCCAUGCAUAGUGAUAUUAGCAAGGAAUAUGAGAAACAUAGCAAUCACUCCCCUGUAAUAAUGUUGCUCUGCCAGCCCAAUACACGAGAGGGGGACUAUAUAAGAAUCAAUGAAGCUGUCACUAUCACGAACCACCCCACGAUCUGGCAUAUUGGGUACAAUCGUAGAUAAAUACGGUAUAAGCACCACGCCUACACAAUAUCUAUGAUUUACCCAUGGAUCCAAUGGAUAAACGCUAUACGAUCCUAAGCAUGUAUAUAGAUCCAAUCUAACUAAGCCAAGUACAUAACUAUGAUAAACUAAGAACAAUAUAAUCUUGAAUAUAAGCAAGUAGAGCAAAGUCAUAAGCAAUAUAUUGAAGUAGAACAAAGUCAUAUUCAUAAUAUUGAAGAACAAAGAUAAUUAGAAAGCAAUUAGAAGCACAAUUAGAGAAUUACCAAGAAUCCUCCUGACAGAUCUGGAAACCAAUCGAAGAUUGACUCCUUCUAGUUCUAAUCCUAUGUAGCUAUGCUAAUCUAGAUAUCUAAUUGAUGUGGUGGCUCUAAUCUUGAUCAGAGGCUUCUUCUCCCAUGAUGGAACAAUGAAUUAGGGUUGAGAGGCUCUCUCCUCCAGGGGCCAGGGGGUCUAGUUUUAUAGUCCCUUCAAGUGAAUAUGGGCCGUUGGAUCAAACCGACAUAGAUUGCAUGGUUUAGAUUCAUCCUUUAGGUCGGUGGAGAUCUCCCGCGAAGCAGAGUCCUGAUUGGACUCCUAGAGAGGGCGGGCGCCCAGGGGAACAGGGCGGGCGCCCUGCCUCUGGCCCCGUUUCGCCUCCGCUUCGGUCUCGUGGCUUCUGGAGUCUUCUAGAUGUAAGAUAAUUGCGCAGCACGUUAAUAUCUCUAUGUAAUCCCGACGUGUGAGCCUUUCUUCCGUAUUUCCUGAUAACCCCCUGCAGAAAUAGACAAACACCAAAACUCGUGGAAUUCUGUCAGAUAAAACCCUAAGUCUAGAUGUUAAUUUUAUUUGGAUCCUUUUCUUUAUUUAUUUGAUAAUUAAAUUUGAUACUUAAGGACCGUCAACAAACUCCCCCAAGCUUACCUCUUGCUCGUCCCUAAGCAAGGAUAGACUCACCUAUGGAUCAUAAGUUGUUGCAAUAUUUUUUAAAAAUUGGCGGUACACAUGCUUUUAAAUAUUAUCUCAUCUCUGAGUUAGAGUAAACUGUCAAGACUUAAAACUUACUUACUUUACCUUCACCAUGGGACUUGUAACCGUUACUUCUGUCUUGAGUAGUUAAAAGAUAGAACAGUCCCGCCAAGUGCCAUGUCUCUUAUUCUUGAUCAGCUAUAGCUCUGGGGUUUUUGCAGAUUUUCAAAUAAAACUCAGAGAUUCCUUGUAUGACUCUCUCAGAUCUCUCUUUUGUGGUAUUUCUGGAUCCUUACCAAGGCAGUGAUGGUAUAUGUCUUCUCUCAAGAUAUGUAGUAUUUGUGGUACAAAGCAUAGUGACAUUGCCUUCUGUCUCACCCUACUCUAAUAAGGCUUUAAUAUCUGGAGCUCAUAGGUGGGAGAUAAAGUAUACAUACUUACAAGACAUGUAUUGUAUAGUCAAACCAUGGAUCCAAAGAAACAAAUCAAUAAGCCAAAUCAAGAUGUGCAUGUGUGGCGAAUGAAUGGUGUAUGGUGAUGAUGGUGAUAACAAUGGUGAAAACAAUGGUGGUGGAAGUCUACUUCUACUUUUGCUCUUUGAGGGGAUACAUACCUUCCUUGAUUUUUGAAUAGUGAGGAGAAUAAGAUGCUCUUUUUUUUUCUUUUCUCUCAGGUGGGUAUCUUGCACCCCUAAUUCUACUGUCGGACACUUGUCCAUUUUUACCUCUCGUCUCACUUUUUCUUUUCUUUCGAGGUUCCGAGCACUUGCUCCUUUUUAUUUCCUCGUAUUAUAUUUUUUUCUUUUUUUUAGAGCACUCAUCUCUUGAGAUAAUAUAGCAAGUGGUAGUAACAAGAUAACUUGAGCAUUUAUUUCAUAAGGGAAAACAGAAAUAUUUUUGGUUAUUCUCUCCCGGAUUAGGAGUAGAAUAUUUUUGGGUGAUUCUGGAGAUGGAAUGGGUGGAUAUAUGUGGAUGGUACUUCCGGAGUAGAAGUAGCAUAUAUGAGUGAACGUGCAAGCGAAAUCUUGAUUUAACCACAUGACAAGCUCCUAAGGGUCUACACAGCUUGACCACACUCAAUGCUCAUAAGCAGUAAAUAGUAAAUGUGUGGCUCAAAGUCUAGCAAGCAUGUAUAUAUGGCUGUGGUAGGAAUUUAAACUCUCAUCAUACAAGAACUCAUCAUGCAACAUUUUAAAGUUUUUCAAAGAUAAAAUUCUCCAGAAUUCUAGCAUCUCUAGGAACAGAUAAACAGCAGCUCAACCUUCCCAUAACGUAUCCGUUAACAACUUAGACUUCAGAUCAAGUUUUCAUCCCACAAGUUUAGGUCUAGAGCAAGCCUUAAAUUAUAACAGUUAUGUCUAAACUUGAGAGAGAACUUAAAAUGUGCAAAUUAGGCAGAGCAACUUUUUAUCAUAUCCAUGCUUAAGUUUUAUUAUUAAGAUACAGAUUAGCAUAGCCACUUUAUUUAUUUAUUAAACACACUAAGCAAAAGACAUAUAUAUAUAUAAAAUCUUUAUUUGGUUUUUUUCAUAGUUUAUGUAUUUUAAUAUUCUAAUAUAAUAUAAGUAUAAAGAUAGAUAGAUAGAAAUACUUAUCGGGAUAAAUGGGGGUGCUCUCCCCCAAGCUGAAUUUUGACGUAAUUUCUCUUGAUGUAGCUAGCAGGUGGCAGAGGUGUAUUUGAAAGUCAGCAGCAUUCUGAUAGCGAUUAGAAUGUCCUCCGUCUGCUAGUCUUCCUAAAUUCUGUGGAGCUCAAAUAGACAACAAAGCUUGUGGAACUGAUUAAGUGUUAGCAUAAUUAUCUAGCCUUUAUCAUGUUGAGACUCCUUAAUAAUUAUUACUCCCUGUUUUUAUAUUUUCAUUUUAUAAAGCAGAAAAGAAAUAUUUAUUUUAUUUUUAUGCCACCACAGUGAAUGUACUUAUGGGUUUCAUGCCACUCGUAUACUCACAUGGGGCUUACUGUUUCUCAUAUAUUUUUUUUAUUUUCUUUUUAGAAUAGCACGAACAUGAUUAACUAAGUAAACUAGUUGAAAUAAUUAAAAGAGAAAGGAUAACUACCAAGUUUACCUCUUGGCAAGGCGUUCGGUGUUUUUUAAGUCCUUCGAACGGGACUCUCCAUUUUUUUAAUUGUCCUGAGGUUCGUUGGGUGGCGUAGUCGGUACUUCCGGCAGCGCCUCCUCUUCAUGUAUAGUUAUCUUCAUUUUCCAUACCUGACUCGGUGCUUCAAUCUCCUCUGGAUAAUUCUGUUUAAACUCUAUGUCUUCUGACCUUACAACUUCUCCUUCAUAGUCUGCCCAUCCAUCCCUGAUGAUGUGCCUCCUCUGGUUGCGGUUGUGUCUUUUCCUUACCUGCUUAGAUUCUUCAAUGAUAUAGUUAGGGUCAGUAAAGUAACGGCGUACCUUCUUUGAGGGGAAGUGCGUAUGCACUUCUCCGGUUCCAAUGUAGAUAAUUGCUUUGACGGUGCUGAGGAACGGUCUUCCAAGGAUGAUGGGUGGAUCGUAUUCAUCUUCUCCCAUGUCAAUAACUUGAAAGUCUGUGUAGACAAAGUGAUCGUCUAUUUUGACUGGGACAUCAGUUACUAUUCCUUUAACUUCUCGAAAUGUCUGAUCUGCCAUCUGGAGCUGAAUGUAUGUUGGUCUUAGUGGCAUGGUUCCGAACAAGAGCCGAUAGGUGACUGCGGCCAUUAUGUUGACGCCCGAUCCGGUGUCACAAGUUGCCUUGUAGAAGUUGUAUCCAUUUAUGGAGCAGUAAAUGCUUGGCAUUCCUAGGUCGUCCAUCUUAGUCAAAAGCGGUGACUUAAGUUGGUGAUCUUGGCCUCCAUGAACUACAGUGACCAUCUUAGCUGAUUCGGUCCACACUUGCUUAUUCCUGUUCCUCCUGUUGGUCCUCUUCCUUGAUUCACGUCUGGAUUGAUCUGGAAUUUGUGUAGUCUUGUUCUUGAAGAAAAAUGUCUCCUUCUUCCCUUUGACAUAGAAACUGAUCUUGGCAGCACUGGCGUAGAUGAUAGCUCCCGUGGUGUUCAAGAAUGGCCUCCCUAAGAUGAUAGGUGCUCUCUCAUCAUUUCCGGUCUCUACCACAACGAAGUCUGCUAGAGCAUAUAAGGUACCAACUCGGACACAAAGGUUCUUCAAUAUUCCUUUUGGAAAAGUUAUCGUCUGAUCUGCAAACUGCAAACACAUGGUUGUCUCUAAUAAAGGGUAUGUAAAGAAUUUUUCAUAGAGUACCCUGGGUAUAAUGUUGACACUGGAGCCAAAGUCGCAGAGUGCUUCGGGAACGUCCACCAUGCCGAUGGAGAUCGGGAUGACGGGGCGUCCUGGAUCGCCUCUCUUGACCGGCAGAAGGUCAGUAGAGAAUUCAUUGACGGGGUUACUCCAAUUACCUGCAUCAAACAUGUCUACAAGAUUUGCAGAUUCUAAUCCUUCCGGUUGUGAUGGUAUACCGGGGUUAGUAGUAGGAACAGCAGUAGCUAUUUGAUUUAACUGAGAUUCAAUCAUUUUAUUAAAGCUAAUUUGAUUCUUGAUGGCAGUAGAGAAAUUAUCCAUUCUAUUAUUUAUAUUUUCUAGCAUUUUAUCAUUAGAUGCCAAUUUCUUAGAUAGGUUAUCCAUUAGCUUUCCUUGAUUAGACACUAACUCUCUCAAAGGUGGAAAAUUAUUAUUAUUGUUGUAAGAAUUGUUACCUUGAUAAUUACCUGAGUAGUUGGGCCUCUGUUGAUUCCAACCUUGAUUUUGUUGAGGACGGUUGUAGUAGUUGUUGAUGUAGUUUACAUCCUCAAGUAUCUCAGGGCAGUGGUUGCCUGAGUGUCCAGUGUCUCCACACUCCUCACAAGUUAGGUGAGAGUCGUAGAUGUGCAUAACUUCCUUCUUAUCUCCAGCUCUAUCGUCGAGCUUCUUCAUGAGCAGGUCUAGCUUUGCAGACAGCAUGUCUACCUCUUUCAGCUGAUGCAUACCUCCACCUCUCUUGCGUGUCUGGGUCCUCUCUUCAUUCCAGCUUUGAUUGGACGCCAUCUUCUCCACAAGAGCUGUGGCUUGUGGUAUAGUCAGUGAUAAAAAUGCUCCUCCAGCUGCAGCAUCCAUGGUUUCUCGGGCACUGUUGCCCAGCCCAUGAUAAAAUGUUUGCAUCAAUAGCCAACUCUCCAUUCCAUGAUGGGGACAUUCUAGGAUGUAGUCUUGAAAGCGCUCCCAUGCUUCUGGAACAGAUUCAUCAUUUUGUUGCUGAAAACUUGUAAUCUUCCCAAGGAGAGCAUUGGUCUUGCCCAUGGGAAAGAACUUUGCCAGGAAGUUUGUUGAGCAGAGUGCCCACGUAGUAUUCUUCUCCUUUGUAGCGUAGAACCACUGCUUCGCUCUUCCUAACAGUGAGAAUGGGAAGAGGCGAAGUAGUAUAGCAUCUUUGGAAACUCCUGAUAUGGUGAAUGUGUUGCAAAUCUCCAGGAAGUGUUGUAAAUGAGCACUAGCGUCUUCGUGUGCCUUCCCACAGAACUGGUUGGAUUGCACCAUGUUGAUAAGUCCAGGCUUGAGCUCAAAGUUGCCGUCGAUCUCUCCAGCAGGUCCAGUGCGGAUGUUGUCCGUAGUGGGAGCUGAGAACUCGCGGAUUGAUUUGUUCGCCAUGGCUUCGAACUCUGAAGACAAGUUCCGGUGAUCUUCUUGAUUAGAUGAAGCUUCUUGCUGAAGUGUUGAUGAUUUCUUUAGCUUGGCUCUCGUCUUCUUGAAUAAUGCUUCAGGAUUGUCAACAAAAUUUCCUGGAAGAUGUCUUCUAUUCAUACAUUCCCCUGCAUAAGAUAAAAUAGAAAAAUAUCGGGGUAAAACUGUAUGAGAGAAUAGAUAAGCUCAAUCAUAUUAGUGAUGGAAUGAUAACUCAAAAUCUUUUAUUCCAUUCCUGAUUAGUAAUCAACCUUCUCCGGCAACGGCGUCAAAAAUGCUUGUUGGGUAUUCUUAACAAUAUUACCAAAAGUAGACUAAGUUCUCUAAAUCUAGUAACGGUGCCAAAAAUGCCAAACCUAUCCCUCGUAUCACUUAAGCCAAGUUGUCAUCCCCAGCAUGAUAUAAGAGAUGCGGUAUUGAAAUAUGCAAUUGCUCUUCUAAAUAAAUAAUGAAUGAGAUCUGCAAGCGCACAGAUUAAUACCGAUGUAGCAUUUUAACCGGGAAGUAUUUCAGGUAUCGUUAUUUAUAUUUUUACCACUGGGACGGGAUUAACAAUCAUCACUAUUGAUUACAGAAUAGAAUAUGAGAUUGAGCAUAUAUCAUUGCAAGUAUAAUUGAGAACAGUUAUCUAACUCUUCAUACAGGGAUAAGUGUCACAUAAAAGAUAUAUGAAGUAAUAAAUAGUGACAAGGAUAAUUAAUCUGAUCAGCCACAUAUAAAAAUGAUAAGCACCUCAAUUAGAUAUUCUAGAAAGUCAUUAGCAUGGUAUUAGAACGAACUACAAGAAUAUUCCCUAAGUUAUUCUCAACUAUAUAGUCUAGCAUUAUCAUAGUUAGUGCAAGCAUACUUAGCAAUCAUUGUGAGACAAGACUACGCCCAUGCAUAGUGAUAUUAGCAAGGAAUAUGAGAAACAUAGCAAUCACUCCCCUGUAAUAAUGUUGCUCUGCCAGCCCAAUACACGAGAGGGGGACUAUAUAAGAAUCAAUGAAGCUGUCACUAUCACGAACCACCCCACGAUCUGGCAUAUUGGGUACAAUCGUAGAUAAAUACGGUAUAAGCACCACGCCUACACAAUAUCUAUCAUUUACCCAUGGAUCCAAUGGAUAAACGCUAUACGAUCCUAAGCAUGUAUAUAGAUCCAAUCUAACUAAGCCAAGUACACAACUAUGAUAAACUAAGAACAAUAUAAUCUUGAAUAUAAGCAAGUAGAGCAAAGUCAUAAGCAAUAUAUUGAAGUAGAACAAAGUCAUAUUCAUAAUAUUGAAGAACAAAGAUAAUUAGAAAGCAAUUAGAAGCACAAUUAGAGAAUUACCAAGAAUCCUCCUGACAGAUCUGGAAACCAAUCGAAGAUUGACUCCUUCUAGUUCUAAUCCUAUGUAGCUAUGCUAAUCUAGAUAUCUAAUUGAUGUGGUGGCUCUAAUCUUGAUCAGAGGCUUCUUCUCCCUUGAUGGAACAAUGAAUUAGGGUUGAGAGGCUCUCUCCUCCAGGGGCCAGGGGGUCUGGUUUUAUAGUCCCUUCAAGUGAAUAUGGGCCGUUGGAUCAAACCGACAUAGAUUGCAUGGUUUAGAUUCAUUCUUUAGGUCGGUGGAGAUCUCCCGCGAAGCAGAGUCCUGAUUGGACUCCUGGAGAGGGCGGGCGCCCAGGGGAACAGGGCGGGCGCCCUGCCUCUGGCCCCGUUUCGCCUCCGCUUCGGUCUCGUGGCUUCUGGAGUCUUCUAGAUGUAAGAUAAUUGCGCAGCACGUUAAUAUCUCUAUGUAAUCCCGACGUGUGGGCCUUUCUUCCGUAUUUCCUGAUAACCCCCUGCAGAAAUAGACAAACACCAAAACUCGUGGAAUUCUGUCAGAUAAAACCCUAAGUCUAGAAGUUAAUUUUAUUUAGAUCCUUUUCUUUAUUUAUUUGAUAAUUAAAUUUGAUACUUAAGGACCGUCAACAAACUGCCCCACCUGCUAAGCCAGCCGGCCUAGGCCCACAUCGAAGUGGCCUCCGCUUCGCAUGAUGGUUUCCAACCGACCUCUACGAUGCAUCUUGACCCUUGUUUCAAGUUGGUUUGAUCCAAAGGCUACGGUUCAUCCCACCGGACUAUAUAAGGAGGGGCAGACCCCCCUAAGACACCCAUCAAUCCCAUCAAUCAUCAGUUGAUCAUUCAGAAGGGCAGAGAGAAAAGUUAGGAUUUUGAAACAGAAGAUUAGAGCUCUAUUUCAAGUUUAGGUUUAGUUCUAGCUAGAAACAAGUAGAGCUGAGCGUGGCUCAGGAUUCUAGGUCGACAUCAGGAUAUUUGGUAAUUCUAUUAUUGUAUCUCAUAAUUAUGACUUUGUGCUACUUCAAUAUCAUUAUGCUCUUGUUUAUUUCGUUCUUAGCUUAUUCUAGUUCUAUCUUUGAUAUAUUCUUAAUUGAUAAUAAGUUUAGACAUAAGUUCAUAGAGUGCCUAGUUCAACUCUGGAUUGGAUUAGGUGGUAGAAUUAAUGUAGACGUGGUGUCUAGAAUAUAUUUACCUACAAAUGCACCCUAUUUUCUAGGCCAUGUGAUAGAACGUGAAGGUGACUAUUAUAGCUUGUUGAGUUGUAUGUAGUCCACUCCCCGAAUCUAGGACAAGUAAAACCCGGUUACUUGGGGAAGGAUUGCUUUAUUCCUACAUUUUCUGAAGUAAUGUUCCUAAUGUUUAGAUAGAAAGAUUGAUUAAGAUAUAGAUGAUAAAGAGUAGAAUAGAAGCCCUAAAACUUAGUAGAUAGGACAUAAUUUUAGGAAUUAAAUCUCUAACUGUAUUGCUUUCUAUAUCCUACUUGAUCAAAUGAGUUCUCUCUAAUUAUGGAUUCCCUAUCUUUAUCUCAUUAUUAUUAUUAUUAUUAUUAUUAUUAUUAUUAUUAUUAUUAUUAUUAUUAUUAUUAUUAUUAUUAUUAUUAUUAUUAUUAUUAUUAUUAUUAUUAUUAUUAUUAUUAUUAUUAUUAUUAUUAUUAUUAUUUGCCUUACCCCUAUUUAGACAGAAGUGGUUAAUUGAUUCAUAUCUAGAGUAUGCAUUUGUAAUUCUUAUAGCCAUAUCAAUUUCCUUUUCUAGACCCUGUCUAGAGAUUCCUAUAGAUAGAAUUAUAAAUAACAAUACCUAGAACUUUUCUAGGUUAAAAUGCAACAAUAGGAGUAUUUAUCUAUGCGCUUGCAGAUAAUUGCUAUUUCAUAAUUUAAAAGUGUCAUGAUAUAAGUAUAACCACAUUUCUUAUGUCAUGUUAGGGUUGACAACCUAGUGUGUGCGGUGUAAGAGAUGCCAACAAUGGCCUCGAGGGCUACACCUACUCGCCGGAUGAAGUAGCCUAACCCUUUGAUCAAUGAAGGUCCGGGUGGUGCAUCCCCUAGAAACAACCAACUCCCUAAGAGUUGGGCCUAUACCCACUGAGCAAUGGCCCAAAUGACGGCCCCUAGUCCAAGGCUCGACACGCUUCAUGCUCCCUGUUGAUAUUUGGGAACACAAUAAGGAAUUGAUCCGCAAGCGCACGGAUAUCGGUGAGCACUUCACCCGGGAGGUUAUCCAGAGUAUCGUAUUUAUUUUUUUACCACUAGGAGAAAGAGUGCAUCUGACUAACCGGUCUAUUACUACUAACCCUUUAGGCAACAAAUAAUGUCUCUCGAUGUGAGUGAUAAAUAGAGAAGACUGCAACCGUAGUCUCCUUCUAACCUUGGUAAGGAUGAUCUACUGUUCUAUUGGGGAGGCUAACGGAAUCUAGACACCACAAAGGAUGUUCAACCCGCACCUAUAAACCCUAUCCUUCCUGCUAACGAGAUAUGGUCUGCAAAGGUAACUUGGAAUUGUCACGUUCCUCACUACUACAACGGUAUAGCUAGUCAGAGAAUAUCUAUGAGUACCCCAGCCUAAACACCACGUUUAUGCGAGCAAUGAUUACUCUAAACUCUACGCGAAGAGAUUAAAGUAAACUCAUAAACCAGAAGAACAAUAAAAGAAGAACUUACUAGAAUUUAGAAGUUGAAAUACUGAAGAAUCCUAGGAGGAAGCUUCGGGUUAGGAGAACUUGAUCCCACAGGUACAAGCUUGGAGUAGACACCGACAGGUCGGGCUUCCUCCAAUCUACACCUCCACUCUAUCUCUCUCAAUCUAGUAGAAACUAGAAGAUCUAUUUCUACUUUACAUUGGUUGCUAAGCCUAAAAAGAAAUAUUAAUUAGAGAAGAGGUUUUCCUUCGAGGGCACCCCUCAAUCUCUAUGAUAAUUUCUUGUCUCCUCCAGGGGCCAGGGGGUCUCCUUAUAUAGUCCUCCUCCUCUAUGCGUUUUUGGGUCGGUAGGCGAGGUGGUACUACAUUAUCCUUGAUCCAAUAGGUUGGUGGAACAUCGUGUGCGAAGAGAGUCCCGAACGGGAUCCAGCAGGGGGCGGGCGCCCAGGUCACCAGGGCGAGCGCCCUGGGCCUGGCCCCUUUCGGCCUCUGCUUCGUUCUCGUGGCUUCUGGAGUCUUCUAGAUGGUAGAAAAUCGCGCGGUGAGUUGAUAUCUCUAUGUAAUCCUGACAUGUGGGCCUUUCUUCCUUAUUUCCUGAUAACCCCUGCAGAAACAGAUAAACAACAAAACUCGUGGAAUUCUGUCAGAUCAAACCCUAAUUCUAGGUGUUGAUUGCAUAUUGGUCCUUUCUCUUGUUUAUUUGAUAAUUAAAAUUGAUACUUAAGAACCGUCAACAAAUACCCCCAUACUUAGGCUUUUACUCGUCCUCGAGAAAAGGAUGGUUAAGAACAAUACUUGGGGUAAAACAUUCUAAAACAUUCUUUAUACUUGCAGGGUAUUAAAAUCCAUUGUGUACUGUAGUCAGGAAAGUAUAUGAUUAAGAGUAAAGAUCCUUUCUUCUCAAUCCUGUUACUUGGAGUUUUUGUAUAAUUUUGAAAGAAAGCUAGCAUACCUUUUUAUCCUCAUAGGUUCUCUCAGAUCACUCAUUAUCUUUUAUAUAUCUCACUGAUGUUGUUUUAAUUUGCAAAAAUUCUUAAGCAUACUUACUUUGCAUUUAUUGCCUGAUCAAAACGGGAUCCAAGGAGGGGAAUGUCAUACUCUUAGAUCAAAGACUUUGGAAAUUAAAAUCUUUGUCAACUCUUGCUGGCAUAUUGCUUAUUAGAGGGACCAUGGGCUAUCAUUUUUUUCUCUCUCUUCUUCUUUUUUUUUAAGUGGAUACCAAGGUAUCCCUAAUUCUACUGCCGGACACUUGUCCAUUUUUCCUGCGAGGUUGUCGAGCACUUGCUCCUUUUUAUUUCCUCGAAAUAUCUUUAUUUUUGCAUAGCUCAUGCCUCUAAUGCAAUAAUACUUCGGAAGAGUGAACCUUUCUGAAUAAAGGUCUUGAUCUUAGGAGCAUGAUAAAUCUCUCAACAAGGGUCUAACUCAUUUUGAACAAACUCAAUACAGAGUAGAUAGCUUUUAUAAUCAUAAUUAAUAUUUUCAGUUUUUAUCAGGCAUAUAAAACACUGAGGAUGGUAGCUAAAAUUUUAAAGAUUUUGAAAUAAAUUCUCCAAGCAACAAUGAUAUCAAGAAUAAGAAACACUACCAUCUCACAUUUCACACUGUCUUAAGUAACACAAGGUUUUAAAAUGAUUUUAUAAUAAUUGCAAGUUUCAGGAAAUAUAACAGAGUGAGAUUAAUCAUGAUUAGAAAUAUUUUAAUCUUUUUAAUGUAUCAUGUCGGAAACAGUAAUCUGCAUAAUCAAGAUAUGUGAAGUGUAAAGUAAAGUGUGCAGAGUGUGUACCUGAAUCGUGGAGUGGUGUAGUCGAAGUGUGUUUGGCGUGUCGAGGGAUCUCCCCCAUACUUGUUUUCUGCUUUCUUGCACAAAAAAUAAAGUAGAGACACACGAGGCAUAAAAUAAUAAUAAUAAUAAUAAUAAUAAUAAUAAUAAUAAUAAUAAUAAUAAUAAUAAUAAUAAUAAUAAUAAUAAUAAUAAUAAUAAUAAUAAUAAUAAUAAUAAUAAUAUUCUUUAUUAAUCUUGAGGCAUUUAUUACAAAUAACUAGUAGCAAACUGAUCAUAGUAGUAAACUGAUGAUAAUAGUAAACCUAAACUGAAUUUAAAGAUAAAUAACUAAGAUGCAUUGCCUCAAGGUCUAAUCUAGAUAACUUAGCGGCGCUCUAAUUCCUUAAUCUUCUUGUUGGCACUAGCAAGAUCCUGCCUAAGGCCUAGUAUGAUGGUGUUGUGGUUAGAGAGCUGCCUAGUGAGGGAAUUAAUCGAGGUCUGGAGGUCUAUGAUAACUCUGUCUAGUCUGCGAACGUCCUCAUCAAUAUCCAUUAUAGUUUUGCGACGCUUGGGAGGUGUCUCAAAAGCAUUGAGAGCGUGCUUCGGGGCUGCCUUUGGAGGGAUGAAACGCACUUUGGCUGCUCUAAUCCCUUCGAAGUAAGGCCUUUCUUCCUCUGUAGUGUAGCGUACGCUGCUGAUCUCACCACUCCAGUUGGUCUUGACUCCAACGACUCUCUCAUUGGGUCUAGGUGGAAGGAUCCUUGUGUCGGUUGGCACCUUGAUGGUGGUCUUCGUCUUGGAUGAUGAUUCCUUGAGGAGUAGGGGUUGUGGCGGUGCGGUGAGAACUGGUUGAGCAUUGUAGGAUUGGGCGGAGCUGCGUUGGCGUAAUGGCAUGGCUUCUAGCUGUCGCUCUGUGUUGGCCGGGACGAGAGCACGGUCAUUGGGGUCUUCCACAGGCUCCAUGUUGAGGUUGAAGGGGACGACUUCCCAAUCAUCGUGGUACUUCUCGGCCAUUGGAGCAGCAAGGAACUAAUCAAGCUCUAAUUGAAGAAGAAGAGAAGGCUUGGUGGCUUGGUGUUUGAAAACUCAGGUCAGGGGUCUGUUUAUAUAGGGGUCAAAAAGUACCUCUAUGGGUUGUUCGGGUUGCUCCCGUCGAUGUGCGUGCGAAACUUUCCAUCUGAGAGAUUAUUUGGAUUUCCUUAAGUGCAUUUUCCAUAACAGAGAAAGUCGGGACCAAGGGGGAACAGGAGCUGGGCGCCCGCCCUCUCUCUGGCCCCUCUGUGGGUCCACUUCCUUGAGCGUGUUAUUAGAUGCAAAACUAUUUAGAAAAAUAUAUAUAUGACCCGAAAACGUGAGACUAAAAAGGUCGGGCUCUAAUUCUCCAUGGGAAGGUAAAAAUAGACUACGUCUAUUUCUUCUAAUUCUUUAUUGGGCUCUAAAAAUAAUUUAAGACGUUGACCAUUUACCUUGAAUAACGUACCUUCAUCAUUUUGAAGUGUGAUAGCUCCGUGGGAUGAUGAAUUAAUUACCUUGAAUGGUCCUUCCCAUUUGCUCUGGAGUUUUCCAUGCCCGAAAAGCUUCACCCUGGAAUUAAAAAGUAAUACCUUAUCUCCGGGUGUGAACUCCUUCUUCUUGAUUCUCUUGUCAUGCCACCUUUUGACUCUUUCUUUGUAGAUCUUCGAAUUGUGAUAUGCUUUCUCUCGCCAUUCUUCCAAUUCUGAUAGUUGCAUUCUUCUAUAAUCUCCAGCAACAUCUAGGUCCAUAUUCCAUCUCUUUAUGGCCCAGUGUGCUUUGAACUCUAGUUCAACGGGUAGAUGGCAAGUCUUCCCAUACACCAAUUGGUAUGGAGACAUUCCAAUUGGGGUCUUGUAUGCUGUUCGGUAUGCCCAGAGUGCAUCGGGUAACUUGUCUUUCCACGCCGUUCCCAUUUCAUUUACUGUCUUCUGAAGAAUAUUCUUGAUUUGUUUGUUGGAAGUUUCUGCUUGGCCACUUAUCUGUGGAUGAUAGGGGGUAGCGACGUUGUGACGGAUUCCAUGUUUUGAUAGAUAUUGCUUGAAGCGUUUGUCGAUGAAGUGUGCUCCUCCAUCACUUAUCACUACUCUGGGGACUCCAAAUCUUGGAAAUAUAAUUUCUUCAAACAUCCUCUUUGAACUGAUGUUGUCGGCAUGCUUGCAAGGUAAUGCCUCUACCCACUUGGAGACAUAGUCAACUGCCACCAAGAUGUACUCGCACUUCUUUGAUGGAGGAAAUGGACCCAUGUAGUCUAUUCCCCAUACAUCAAAGAGCUCAAUCUGAAGGUUGUUGGUGAGUGGCAUUGCAUCCCUUGUAUUUAUGUUUCCGUGCCUUUAACAUGGCCCACAUCUUCUGAUAUAUUGCUUCGUGUCUUCAUAUAUUGUAGGCUAGUAGAAUCCACACUGCCAGAUCUUUGAAUGUGUACGGAAUGCUCCAUAGUGACCUCCAUAUGGUGAUGAAUGACAUCUAUCGAUGAUCUUCCAACCUUCCUCAGUGGUCACACAUCUCCUGAGUAAGCCAUCAGAGCAUACUCGGAAGAGGUAUGGCUCAUCCCAUAUAUGUGAACGACUUUCUUGAAUAAGCUUCUUCUUGUUUGCUCCUGGUGGUACAUACCCUGAAACCAUAAAAUUAACAAUAUCUGCAUACCAGGGGUCAGACCUGUUAAUCCCGUAGAGCAUGUCGUCCCGGAGUGAAUCAUUGAUGGGGGUUUCCUGUGGACUCUUAAAAUACAUUCUAGACAAGUGAUCAGCAAUAGAAUUUUAUACUCCCUUUUUAUCUUUUAUUUCUAAGUCAAAAUCUUGGAGUAAUAAGAUCCAUCUAAUCAGGGGAGGUUUAGCAUCUUUUUUAGUGAGCAAAUAUUUUAGUGCAGCAUGAUCAGUGUAAACAAUUAUUUUAGCUCCAACUAAAUAAGAUCUAAAUUUAUCAAUGGCAAAGACAACAGCCAGAAGCUCUUUUUCAGUGGUUGCAUAAUUAAGUUGAGCUCCUGUCAAAGUUUUACUGGCAUAAGCAAUUGCAUGAUGCUUCUUAUUUUUAGUUUGUCCCAAAACUGCCCCCACAGCAUAAUCACUAGCAUCACACAUAAUUUCAAAAGGCAACGACCAAUCAGAGGGUUGAAUAAUUGGUGUAGAGAUGAGUGCUUUCUUUAAUAAAUUAAAAGAUGUUAGACAUGCAUCAUCAAAUUCGAAAGGAGCAUCCUUGGCUAGCAAAAGAGUAAGUGGUCUAGCAAUGAAUGAGAAAUCUUUUAUAAAUCUACAAUAAAAACCAGCAUGGCCAAAAAAGCUUCAAAUUCCUUUUAUAUUCACAGGUGGAGGUAGUUGUUCAAUUACUUCAAUUUUAGCUUUGUCUACCUCAAUACCUCUUUCAGACACUAAGUGUCCCAGCACUAUUCCUUCUCUAACCAUAAAAUGACAUUUUUCCCAAUUAAGGACUAAGUGCUUUUCUUCACAUCUUUGCAAAACCUUGUCUAAGUUUUCUAGACAACUAUCAAAAGUUUUUCCAUAAACAGAGAAAUCAUCCAUGAAAACUUCCAUAAUCUCUUCAAUCAUAUCAGAAAAUAUAGACAUCAUGCAUCUUUGAAAAGAAGCUGGUGCAUUACAUAACCCAAAAGACAUUCUACGGUAAGCAUAAGUUCCAUAUGGGCAUGUAAAAGUGGUUUUGCUUUGAUCAUCAGGAUGGAUCGGGAUUUGGUGAUACCCUGAAUAUCCAUCUAAGAAACAGAAGAACGAAUGGUUUGCUAACCGCUCUAGCAUCUCAUCUAUGAAAGGUAAAGGAAAGUGAUCCUUUCUCGUGGCUUUGUUUAGUUUUCUAUAGUCUAUGCACAUCCGCCCUCCUGUGACGGUGCGUUGCGGAAUUAGCUCGUUCUUUUCAUUCAUAAUAACAGUCAUGCCUCCCUUUUUAGGCACAACUUGCACUGGGCUUACCCACUCACUGUGCGGCACAGGAUAUAUAAUCCCUGCAUGCAGCAACUUUAUAACUUCCUUUUUAACUACGUCUCUCAUAGUGUUAUUAAGUCUAUGUUGGGGUUCUCGAGAGGGUGAAACAGAAGGAUCUGUUGGAAUACGAUGGGUACAAAUCAUAGGACUGAUUCCUGUAAGAUCUUGGAGUGAGUAGCCGAAAACUGAGUGAUGUUUCUCAAGAAUAGUCAUUAAUCACAGAGUUUGGUCCAGAGUGAGUUUAUUGCUAAUGAUCACAGGAAACUCUGGAUUAUUGUUUAGGAAAGCAUAGUUAAGACCGGGUGGUAAAGUUUUAAGCUCUAUGGGGGGUCUAGGUGUUUCUGCAAACUCAUCUAAGGGUUCUGGUUCAGAAGGUUCGGCUUCUUCUUCUGUGAAGAACAGAGUUUCGUCUUCUAAGUCUGAUUCUUCUAAAAGCUCUAGAGAUGCAGCCUUUACCUCCUCCAUAGGAUCAGGCAAAAGAUAUGAUUCGGCCUUAUUGUUUAAGGAGUGUGAAAUUGUUAUUGGGAAUUUAAAGGCUUUUCCAAAAGAAAUGUUUAGCUUUCCAGUAUGACCUUCAUAAAGGAGUCUUCUAAAAGGUUGUCCUAUCAACAGGUCGAAGUCCCAUGUAUCAAAGAUAUAGAAGUUCAAAUGAACCAUGGAGCCUUCUACCAUAAGAGGUAGGACAUUAAUAAUUCCAAGACUGGGGACUAAUCGUCAAGAAGAUUCCUUUAUGACCUUUGUUGUGGGGGUUAAGACAAGAUUUUUAAAUAGUUUAAGUGCAAAAGAUUUAGACAUGAUGUUGAUCCCCAUAACAGGAUUAUAAAGAGCAUUAAAUCGAUCAAAAUUAUAAGCACAGCGUAUAGUUAUAGAGGGUGUGUCCAAACGGAUCACAUCAGAGGAAAGCUCUGACUCCUCCAACCAUUCGCUACUCAUGACUGAGAUAAGCUCUCUCAAUUGGUAUUCACUUGGCAAAUAAAUGCUAAACUGGCCGUUUUGGGGUUUGUCAAUAGAAUGGUAGUUUGAAAUGUUUCCAAAAUCGGCAAAAAGAUCGGAUUCUAUAUCCAGCAUGAAGUCCGGUGGUGGAAUUUCUUCCUCUUGUGGCUUAGAACUUGGGAUAGCUAAAGUAGAUGAAGAAUUUGGCAGAGUGUCUACUUUAGCUUCGUAGGUUUCAUCAUGAAGGCUAUUAUCCAUCUCAGCUUCUAGGAUUCUAUCUAGGAUCACUCUAGCUUCAUCAGUAGGGAUGCGAAAGAAAGAACCUCUAGACAUUGUGUGUAGCAUUUGUUUGUGAUUUUUCUGAAGACCUCGAAAAAAGUGAAAUAAAAGAACAGGGUCUUCAAGAUUAAGGUUUGGUCUAGAUUCUAAAAGAUCAGAAAAAUUUUUCCAGGAUUUUCCCAAAGUUUCAUUAUCUUUUUGCUUAAAAGAUAGGACUUCGAGUCUAAGGUCGGCUAUACGGUCGAGGGAAUAGAAAUCUAGACAAAAGUUGGCUCGUAAAACUCCCCAUUCACCUCGUUGUUGACUUACCUUCUGACUGUACCAUUGUCUAGCUUCUCCCCUUAAGGAAAAAGGAAAAAGCUUCCAACGUAAAGUUUUAUCAGAAAUGCCUUCAAUGCGAAGACAAUCACGUGUUUGCUCAAAAUCUCUAAUAUGAAGGUAAGGGUUUUCGUCUUCCUUUCCCGAAAAAGAUAGGUUUUGAAUCAUGGCAAUCAACCUAGAACUUAACUUAUACUGGGAUGUUUGGAUAGGCUGUGAUGACUCCCAUGGUAAAAGGUCAGUUACUGAAGGGAUUGCAGAUUCAUGGAUCGAUUUAGAAUUUUGGUUUUCCAUAAGGUAAGAGUAAAGAAAAUAAAUACAGAAUAUAAAAGAUAAGAAAAGAUAAAAGUAUAGAUACAAGUUAGUAGUAAGACUCAAGGUUAUCUCAGCAAACCGUCUUUCUCCCCGGCAACGGCGCGAGAAAUGCUUGUUGAUAUUUGGGAACGCAAUAAGAAUUGAUCCGCAAGCGCACGGAUAUCGGUGAGCACUUCACCCGGGAGGUUAUCUAGAGUAUCGUAUUUAUUUUUUUACCACUAGGAGAAAGAGUGCAUCUGACUAACCGGUCUACUACUACUAACCCUUUAGGCAACAAAGAAUAUCUCUCGAUGUGAGUGCCAAAUAGAGAAGACUGCAACCAUAGUCUCCUUCUAACCUUGGUAAGGAUGAUCUACUCUUCUAUUGGGGAGGCUAACGGAAUCUAGACACCACAAAGGAUGUUCAACCCGCACCUAUAAACCCUAUCCUUCCUGUUAACGAGAUAUGGUCUGCAAAGGUAACUUGGAAUUGUCACGUUCCUCACUACUACCACGAUCUAGCUAGUCAGGGAAUAUCUAUGAGUACCCGAGCCUAAACACCACGUUUACGCCAGCAAUGGUUACUCUAAACUCUACGCGAAGAGAUUAAAGUAAACUCAUAAACCAGAAGAACAAUAAAACAAGAACUUACUAGAAUUUAGAAGUUGAAAUACUGAAGAAUCCUAGGAGCAAGCUUCGGGUUAGGAGAACUUGAUCCCGUAGUUACAAGCUUGGAGUAGACACCGGCAGGCCGGGCUUCCUCCAAUCUACACCUCCACUCUAUCUCUCUCAAUCUAGUAGAAACUAGAAGAUCUAUUUCUACUUUACAUUGGUUGCUAAGCCUAAAAAGAAAUAUUAAUUAGAGAAGAGGUUUUCCUUCGAGGGCACCCCUCAAUCUCUAUGAUAAUUUCCUGUCUCCUCCAGGGGCCAGGGGGGUCUCCUUAUAUAGUCCUCCUCCUCUAUGCGUUUUUGGGCCGGUAGGCGAGGUGGUACUACAUUAUCCUUGAUCCAAUAGGUCGGUGGAACAUCGUGUGCGAAGAGAGUCCCGAACGGGAUCCAGCAGGGGGCGGGCGCCCAGGUCACCAGGGCGGGCGCCCUGGGCCUGGCCCCUUUCGGCCUCUGCUUCAUUCUCGUGGCUUCUGGAGUCUUCUAGAUGGUAGAAAAUCGCGCGGUGCGUUGAUAUCUCUAUGUAAUCCCGACAUGUGGGCUUUUCUUCCUUAUUUCCUGAUAACCCCCUGCAGAAACAGAUAAACAACAAAACUCGUGGAAUUCUGUCAGAUCAAACCCUAAUUCUAGGUGUUGGUUGCAUAUUGGUCCUUUCUCUUGUUUAUUUGAUAAUUAAAAUUGAUACUUAAGAACCGUCAACACUCCCUGAUCCAUGGCAGCAAAGGGUUGGCCCUAGAAGGCCGGCUCAAGAGGAUUUAAUCCCAUUAUACAUCACAGGCCCUAGAAGGACAAGGUUUUAUGGUUGAUCAACUGGCCCCGAGCUACAGCCUUGAGCUCAUGAUCACCUAGCCUGGCAAGAUCUGAUCGAAAGGAGGGCCUUUAGUUGGCGGCUCCUAGAUGAGCCAGCCAAGCCCUCACUCGAGCUGAAGACCCAAGCACCUUGGACUAGUGAGGGAGCCAACACUAACACUUGCCCUCAGCCACCAAGCCAAAGCUCCUUCAUGUUUUGUAGGUGAAGUCCUCAAGCAAGGGGAGACCUCUCUUGGUCAGCAGAAUCAUCCCUGCAAAGGAGGGUUCAAUCACCAUGAGACCAAAGUCAGCCUUUCAUCGCCAUCAUGGUAACUGAGGCCACAAAGGGCUCAAGGGCUCUUGUCAAGAUCAUAAACAUCCAGGUAUGUCUAAAUCUUAAUUUUAGAUGGUUCCUGAUCAUCUAGAGACCCCUAGCCUAUCCCUCUAGGAUAGCCUCGGGGCUAGGGGUUAUGCCCAUUAGGCAGACCUAGGCAUGCCCUUGGGACAAUGGAUCUAGCCAUGCCUGGCCCCACAACACCUUUGGGUUGAGGCUUAGGGGCUGCACCAAGCCAUGGCCACUUGAUCUACAUUGCCACCAUGCCUGGCCCUUGGAUCCUACCCCACCUACUGAAGCUAGCCAAGGCCUAGGCUCAAGAUGACGAGCACCUAGGCUACCGAUGCUCGGGGUCUCGCCGAUGAUGCUCUCAAGGUGUGUCCCUACCAGUUGCUCCUCUAACAGGGUCACGUCUAGGGCAUGACACCAAAAGACAAAUCCCCAUCAUCCUCCAGGGGCUAGUUGGCCUCUAAGCCUACAUGUCAGCCUCUAGAGCUAACCUCCCCCACUACUAGGAAGACUCUAGAAGGUCUCACCUAGGGAGGCCAGUCCAAGCUGACAAGACCUAACACUCGGUGGUCAAGAUAGAACAGCUAGACAACACCCAGGCUUCAUCAGUGCCAAGACAUCUCCUCGGUCCACGACGCUCCACUGCAAGGCCUCCAUGGACUCUGGUGCAUGUUUACCAUAAGCUAGAAACCACAACCACCUUGUACCCAACCCCUCCUAUUAUAUAUAAGGGACAGGAUCAGCCCUUCAUGGGGAUCUUGAAUCUUUCCAACACCAAACUGCCUUCUCUAUUCUAGUCACCCAGAGUAGAGCAACCCAUGGGGAAGCUCUGGCAGUUCCUCCACCGUCACCUUCCUCUCCAGCAAGGGGAGACAUUUCUAGUAGUGUGGUACACCACCACCUUAGGACUAGCAUCGAGCUAGCCCCUACCAAAACUCAUCCUUUCACACCGAUUGUAACCCCCUAGAUCCUUGGUGUUCUUGAGUACAAGGAUCAUCAGCUGCUAGAUGUAGGGACUGACUUGGCCUAAACCACGAUAAAUCUCUACGUCUCCCAUGUGUUUCUUGAGUUCUUGAGUUCACCUGAGUCACUGUAUUCGUCGUGCGACGACACCAUCCGAACAAUAUGCUUGUCGUGGUUUUAACCCCGUGAUAGAUAGCCCUAGACAAGUGCAUAUGGUCUUCUUCCCAAAUCAAAAGCUUUCCAAAUGGUGAAAUGGCCUUUUUUAGCAAAGGUUGGAUCCAAUAAUCAAUAUCAAGCCUAGGAGGAUUAGCUAGACCUUAUGAUUCAUAAUAGCAGUAUGUCUAUUCCAAGUCCAGUUAUGUGUAACAAAGGAAAUAGUGAAAUUGCCAUAUAGGUGGGGGCUCUAGUGAAUGAGAAAGUCUCCAACAUGCAUAUAGUUAAAUCACACCGUCAGGGCAUAGCUGCAAUGAAUAGUAGCCAACCCGCAUCUAAUUAUGGAGGAAAUCAUUAAUGAUGUUAUGUAUGACUAAAAAAUCAAAACCUGCCCUAGCGAGAGCGAAUGCAGAGUGAUAAUGGCUAGAUCACUAUUCUUUUUUGGCAUCUAACCCAUGAUGAUCUACAACUCCCUUGGUCUUCCUUGCACCAUGACCCAUUGCCCUAGUGUGCCAUAAACAGAGUGGGAUCAACCAUAUGAAAAGCCAUUGAUCGUUGUGAAAAAAGGGGAGAUGUUAAUGUAGCUAGGAUUUUCUCUGUUCAAGAAAUGUGUAGUAAGGGAGGAAAGGUAGGAGAACCCUGAGCAAGGGAAGCGAACACACUAAAUGAUGAGUAGACUAGCGGAGGGGAGACAAUAGACAUGAUCACCUGCAAGGAUGUCAGUGAACUCUCCAAUGUUUCGUCAUUGAACUCCAACGCCAUGAUACGCUAGGCCUGAGACCAACAAAUGAGAGAAGAGGGAGGCGGAGUAACGUGUCCCUAGUGAUCUUUUGCCCCCCGUAGUUCGUGAAACAGCCUGAGCGACAGGAUGAGAAGUUGGAAAGCCAUGAUUGAGUCAUCCCAUGGAAGGGGAUGGAGAAUGAAGUGGGAAUUGACAAUUCAAUCGGUGUGUCUUGAGUGAUGACAGUUCUGGCAAUGGAUGGGGUUUGGGUAGAAAGGCCUAGUAUGGGCCGAGGAGAAACAUUUGGAACAUGGGCUAGGGGAUAGCAUGGCAUGCAAAACCUUCGCAAGAGUGCCAUUAGCCCAAUGGAAGACCCCCUUUGAUUUGGGCAACAUUUUGGAAGGCCCAACAGGAAAAUGGCCAUUACCAAAAAUUAGCUAGAAAAAUCGACUAUCUAGCCGGAGACAAUAAAAAAUGAGUGUGGAGGGAGUAAACCAGCAGCACCUUCCACAUAUAUCAGUAGGGUAAGUAAUCCUAAUUGCACCAAUUUUGGGUGGCACCAGUCGCGUGCACCAACUCUGCCAUCUUAUACCUUGCCUCAAAAAUCAGCUUGCUCAUACCUAUGCGGCAAGGAAAUUUUGUUCCUUUUGGUGCAACCUCAGGGCACGCCUUUUCUUGCACUAGAAUAUCGCAGGCCAAAUUAAAACUCCAUACAACCUACCAAACAGAGAUAGUUGCAGCAUAUAAGUCUGGCUAGAGGCAUAUGUCUAGGUUACCAAUUAGGCUUGAAGGUGGUCAUAAAAGUAGAGUGCGCAUGAGCAUGUAUAUGAGCCUCUAUGUUUAUACUAUGUUUCAAAAAAAUAUCAAGGAAAUUUUUCAGAAAUGUUUGGUCCCAGUGAACUAAUGAAUAAUGCAUGUAAGGUACUUUGAUAUAAUAUUUGCACGAAUCAUUGCAACAUUGUAGUUGCCGCUAGGUACUUUGAUCCUUUAGCUGCCUUAUAUUGCUGUAUGCUUUAUCCAAUUUCUUCACAUUGUACUUUUUUUGGUUCAGUACUACAUGAACUUGCACAAAAAUAGGCCUCCCAUCGUCAGGAGCUCCUUCAUGAGUAUCACAGCUUAGUACCAUUAAGCCAACGGCUAUAGAAAGCCAAUGAUUCCUGUGGUUUAUACUCAGGAACUGUGUGCCCAGAACCCUGCGAGAGGAACAAACAGGAUAGAUAAAAAAGGCAACUUAGUUUUCUUGUGUUUCAAAAAUGCGUCAUUAGAUGUAAUUUGUUUUUUAUUUGGCAGGGUAGUAUCAUGUUUGUGAAUCUAUGGAUUAAUUGACAAAGUUCAAUUUGAAAUUGAACCACACCUUAAUCGUGGCGAAAGUAAGGCCAUUUUCAUAUCCUUGGGUGUACCUGAGUAGUAUAACAUGCAAAAAUAUGUGAGUAGAGCAACAUGUCCUUAAUUUCUUUCCUUGAGAACAUACAAUCAUUUGACUGAAACAAUGGAAAAUAAAUAAACCAUUUAACUGAAGAUUUCUCUUAUGAAAGAACUUUUAACUUUUGUUGGUUAUUUUGAAGAAUAAUUCAACCACUAGGAUAUUGUGAUUUGAAGAUCUUAGGAGAAAAGAGUCAAUGUGUGUUCAAAUACCCAGCAACUUGUUCAUUAACAAUCCAUUGUCGCCACGAAUCAAUGAUGCCGUAGCCUAAAGAUGCAGUCCAUGCUUCAGUCCCAGUGUGAGGUACGCACAUAUCAUGGUCACCGCUGAAACAAUUGCAAAAGAAAUAUCACAAUGAUAACCACAACUUUUCUGGGUCUAAAAAUGUAAGAGCCUAAAUCAUAUAAUUUUAUAGGUUCUUAAAGUACCUGUAAAUCAAAGCACGAUAACCCUGGCUUGUAAGGUUCUUGUGAUAAAUUAUCAUACUCCCAGCAUCAUGAUCAAAAUCUAAUUCUGUGAAUAACUGCCAGGGUCCAAUUGAACUGACCUAAUAUAUGUGCAUGAUAAACUAUGGUUAGAAGGUGGAAAGCUUUAGAAUAGGUCCAAUAAGUACAAGGUGGUUAUUUAGUGUAUGACUAUCAUACUGGUUCAGCAUGAAUCGCAGAUCUGACGUUAUCAUUGUUUAGCCAUGCCGUUGCAACUUCAUCACUCUGAAAAUUAAGAAAACAAGACAGUGAGGGUACAUAAGAAAAUGGGAUAAAAUGAAUCAUGCUUCGUUUGUGACAAAAAAAAUUACACCUCUAUAUUUCAGCGAAGAUAAAGCUGGAAGAUGUGCCUGCCUUAUUUACAUAGUAUAAUCGGAGAAGAUAAAGAUAAAUGAACUAAAUAAGUGUGUUGAAUUGCACAUAUUAGUAUUACUGUAUUACGAGUUUACGACGCUAGCUCACAUACAUAUAUGGUGAUCUAUAGUGGGAUGUUUUACACAUUGACUAAGCAUAUCUAGAUUUGCUUCAUGAAUAUAUUUUUUAUUUCUAUCUUUCAAUAUUGUGAUUGAAACUAUGGUCAAAUUUGUAAGUAAAGAGGAUGGAAGCAACCAAUGACAUCGGUAAAGAAAAUGAGAGAGUACAAAAAGAGGUAAGGAGCAAUCUCUGGAGCAAAACAUUAAUGUUAUGACAGAUAAUAGAGUUAUAGUGGGGGUGGUUAGUGUGCUUGUCCUCACCAUACAUGGAAUUCCACGGGGAACUGAUGCAGCUAGCUCCUGCCAUGAUGGAACACGCCCAUCUCUUACAGGAGCUCUCAAAGGCCAGGCCCGUCCAUGCAUUCUAUUUCUUACUGGAAGGGGCUUGCUAGUUACACCAAGAUCUUUGAAACUUGGAGGCAGUUUGUUACUUUGUGGGAUACCUUCUUUGGUGUUUGUACCGUGGUAGCAUGGCUCAAGAAUGUCAUAAAUAUUUAAUCCAUCAAGUGCCUACACAAAAACAUCAACAUAUAAUACAAAGAAUAUAGUAUUUCUUUAUUUUACUAGAUAGUGUCAGGUUUACCGUAUCGACUUUUGACAGCGCUUCGUCGCAUUUUGCACUACUAGAAUUCCAGUAACUUCCUUGACAUGCAGUGUUGGCUUCCUACAAUUUGUAUAGAAAUUAUUUUUUGAAGAUAAAGGAAUGAAACAUUCCGGCCUUCACAUUUUGUAUAGAAAUUAUGGUAAAUCGAAAGAACAUAUGUAUGUUUCAAUGGAUACACAAAGAUUUAGAAGUAUUUUGUGUAUUCAAAGGAUUUGAAUGAAGUGUUCCAAUACAAUCAAUACAACAUCAUGGUGUAAUGUAAAAAUUAUUCUAGGAUGAGGAUAUCCGUUGGGGUAUAGUCAUACUGAUGUACCUUGUAUAUACUCUCUGAAAUUAGAGCCAUUCCGUGUGCAAAUGGCACAAGAGCGUUACCAUCAAAGACGGUGUCGCAUACACCAUUGCCAACCAUGUAGCCCUAACACAAGAAUACAACAAAACUUUAAACAUUAUUAUAUAUAUUUCCUUGGUAACCAUGUUCGCCGUUCCCAUGAAGGCUGCGAUAAUAUAAUAAAAAUUACUAACCUUAAAAUUUAUAGUUGGCUUAUCUCCUUUGUGGAUUCCUGUAAAAUAAUUUGUCAGUAACAAGAAUAUCAAAAUAACUAGCAGUUUAAGGAUCAUUACUAUCCCAAAGACAAAACCUUUGACAACUUCAUGUGAAAGGGUAGGGACAUAAACUCCAGCAUAUGACUCUCCAGCUAUAUAAAAUGGAUUUUUCAAGAACUCAGGGUAGAGUUGGAACCACUGGUUAAAUGUAACGGAAAGGGAACUGAUCAGCUUUUUGUUCUGUAAAAAGAUUAUAAUUGAUAAUGAUAAAUUUACUAAUGUGCCCAACACAAAAGAACAUAUAUAUUUACCUUGAGAAGAAAAGUAUGCGAAUCAGCAGCAGUCUUAAGAUCACCAGUUUCAUAAUCUGAAACAUUCUUGGAGUAAGACAGCCCAACACCAGCCGGGGAGUCCAAGUAUAUCACACUAGACACCUACAAUGCAAGGGAAACAUCACUAUUCUGUCUCAGUUUAGAGCUUGAACACCAGAUAAUUUAUCCUUAGGACUAACAGAAAUGUCCAACCUUAGACCAGCUAUAAGGGUUGAGAUGAAGCUUUGGCAAGCUUCCAGCUGACCCUCCUGCCUCAAAGUUGAAUGGUCCUGGACCCCAAAAAAACACUCAUUAAUUGGGAUGAAAGAUGUUAGAGUGUAUCAGGCAUCUCCAGUUUGAGUUAGUUCCUUUGCUUGUUGUCAUAAGUUGAGAUUCAGGUUCCAUGGCCAUAAACUCUAUUAUUUUGCUACACAAUGCCCUUGAUAUGCUCAUGCCACUAAUUAUACAUCCUCUAUUGCACAACAGUGCCCCCCCCAACGGCCUUGUAGCAUGCCUCCCCCCAAUGGCGGAACCAUGAUCUUAAGUAGAGAGGGAGGCGUGCAAACACAGUGACUUCAUGGGUCAGCAUGUUGCUUGAGGGUGCAUGCAGCUUGGGUCAGAAUUGUACCAUGCCUGAGCAGUGAGCACCUACCAACUGCUCCAUAGUGUUUUAUUAAUUUACCUCUAGUUGUCGUGUUGGCCGAAGCUUUGCAUACACUAAUUCCCUUCAGUAUCAAGAAUGGAUAGUAGUUUGUUGUUGACUCGUCAAGACCUGAAUGUGGUGCCUAGACUUUGAAUGUGGGAGAGUGGAGACAACCUAGAGACCGAUAGAACCAUGAUAUGAAGAGGACUUGCAAUGGCGGGGUUCCAAAUAUUUUGGCGUGGCCCUGCUGGCCACCCCUCCGCCACUACCCCCCAACACCCACCCACCCAAGAUCACCCAGGAUAAUCUUGGCCAUGGACAACAGGUCCACCAUACCUAGGCCUCUCGCCACCAGACGUGUCGAAUGAUCACCCUAGAGAGUCUUUUCCUGAUCAGAUAACUAGGGUUUUCUCUCCCACUAAUCAUUGAAUAGGGUUUCUUAUUGUUUUCCCGGUCUAACAUCAUUUUAGUUCUGAAGCCCUCAUCUUUGCAUGCCUCUACAUUGACAUCUGCUUCAACUACAUUAUUGGCCACCUCUAGCCACUGUUCACAUAAACGGCCGUUUAGACCAUUUAAACGUUGUGUAAACGCUACACAGUGGUACAUCGUUUCCGUUUAAUCAGCUAUUUAGUCCGUUUAACUGACCAUUUAGCCCGUUUAAUGGGUUGUUUAGCCCGAAUAAUGGCUAAAUGGCAGGUGACUGAUUGUUAACUGUUUAGCGUUUAGGAAAAACAUUGCCUCUAGCACAUCACUCAAUGCUAGCUCAUCCUUGUCUCCUUUGUCAUCAAGUACUACACACCUCCUCUCUCCAAAUGCUACUGCAUCUUAUUGCCAUGCCGCAUCAUCGUCGCCAUUAAUGGUACAUAUUCUUUGCAAUUGCAUCUUAAUUGACUUAUUCCAUGCAAUUUCAUCUUAAUUGACACAAACUACAUAUAUGGGCUAUGACAUUGUGCACAUCACAUGCAAUGUGUUUGGUAGGAUGUUCAUGUUCUUCACAUUGAGCAUCACUAUCAUGGCAUCCAAAAUACCAGGCCUUGCAACAAAUCACCUAGACCUACCUCCUCACUUUGUCCAGUACAACCUCCUUGCUAUUCCUUGCCCAUUUCAUCUACUCCAACAACCAUGGACUGCAUUGGUAUCUUCUACCCUUCCAUUUUUACACUACACUCAUCCUGGAGGCUUUCUCCGCUAGUACUUUAGAUGUUGAUGCAUGGUUGAGAAUCUUCCUCUAGUACAUCUAGUAUUGGCAACACAGUACCAACAGGUGCCAUUAUCCAUAACACAAUUGUAGGCAUGGCAAACCUAGUGCAUACCUCAUCCAUGGUGACAUUGGCUACACCCUUGGCAUCAACUCUCCCUCAAUGGCUGCCUCAAUGCAUCACAUUUAUUAAUGGUGACAUCUCAUAUGAACCACCAUGCCCAUGGAAACACCUUGGGUAUCCAAGGCUUCUUGUGUGGCCAACUCAUCUUUGAAAACUUUGACAUCUCUGUUGACCACAACUAUCAUACACAUGACAUGCAUCCUCGAGAACAUCAACAUACGCAUAAAGUCCUAUCAUGAUAUUGCCCUGCUUGAGUAACAUUUUAGCUUCACUGCAUCCAACAUCUACGAUGCAUGGACCAUUAUGACUGCAAGGGGUGAUAACUCUUCGAGUUACAACCUUAGGCUUGUAUGUGACAUUCCCACUAUGAAUGUUGCGAAAAUGUUAUAUAUUUAAGCUUAGGCUCUCACUUAUUGCAUGAUCCAAGGGCCUAUAUAGGACUUAGUAUGAGAGGUAGAGUUGUGUGCUCUUUGCAUGCUGGAGCCUUAUAGUGACUCACCGGCCAUGUCAACGACAAGGAAACCCUUUGAUGACGAAGCGCCACAGUGUACUGCGUCAAUGUGAUUGGGAGACUAGGGCAUCCCAAAGGUGAGGGUCUCAUGGAUGAGAGCAUAUUCGAGAUCUCUAAUAUUGGUAACGCCACUUCUUGGAAGUUUGCUCUUUGCUCACUUGAUAUUUACUUACGUCGCUUAUGUUUCAUGUGUUUAUGUGUCUUCUACCUUUCUAUAUUAAUUGGGAUAGAUGAUAUGAUUAGCUAUAUAUAGGUUGCAGAACUCUUUGUGAAUGGGUAGGUAGAGACACUAGAUAAUUUCUAGGUGCACUUCUUGCUAGUUAGUACUCCCUUCAUAUACGUAAAGAAACUCGUGUAGAACAACGACACGGUCUUCAAAAUCUAACUUUGACUCCUUGUUAUAUAAAAUAUUUAUCAAAAAGUGGUAUAUGUAUAUUUAUAUGUAAGUAUUUUUCAAGACAAAUGUAUUCCUAUAUUUUUACAUUUCCAAACUCAACAACUUAAAAGUUAUUUAUGAUUUAUAUUCUCAAUGUUUGAUCCAAACCUUUUUCAAGAUGACUUUCUUUAUGGGUAUGGAUGAAGUGGUUAUUAUCUAGCAUAAAUCGUGUUGGAGCACUGGGUUAACUUUUUUUAUUAGUGAUCCAAUUUACUAGUCCUCUCUUGGGUCCCGUGCGCUAAGACACUACUCAUAAGAGCGCUAAAUUCUUUACAAAGAUAAGAUAAGAAUACAAAUAUUGAACAUAUAUAUCAAAGGAACACUAAAAAGAUAUGAAGUGUAUCAAAUUAUAAGCACCCAAGCUUUUCUCUAUGCUUUGGAAAAGGAAUUUUUUGCCCAAAUUAUGUCUAAAUUCGGGACAUUUUUGCAUUGGUUUUCUUCGUAUUCCAUCUGGUAUACCCUUUUCCCUUCUCUACCUUUUUUCGUCACUUGUUAUAGCCUCUAGAAAUAUCUAUAUCGCCAUAACCCCGCAUUUCUCCUGUCUUGUGGCUCCUGCCGGAUUUGUCAUCUGCCAGGCUAACUACUCUCAAGAUGGUUGAUGCCUUAGUUGAACCAAUAAUAUUUAUUUCAAGAUCCCUAUAUAAAACCGCAUGUUCCAAAUCCGCGGACUUAUCCCACGUCCAUAUUCUACAUAACUCUGCACGUCAGGCAAAUUUGGUCUCUUCCACUUCACAGCCCACUCCAUCCAUGAAAGAAAGUUUGAUCCCCAAAACGCUCAAUUUAUUCUACAUCUUUAUUAGAUUCCAUACUCUAACAAGUUGGUUGGAAAAAAAAGUUGCAUGGUGAGGAAAGCGGGAAAGAAAAAUGCGAUGGAGAGAUGUCAAAUACAGACAAUACUAGUAGCUUGUAGAGAAUAUCAUGAUACUAUAUGUAACACCCAAAAUUUUAAUUUCAAUUAAUAGGAAUUAAAUUAAUUUAUUUAAGUAUUUUUGUGAACAUUUAAUUUAGUGAAUAAAUAUUUUUGAGGAAAAUAAAAUUUAUCAUAGGUUUAGUAACCUUGAUGGUGCAUUCAUGCUCGAGCAUAUUUUAUGUGUUGCUUGAUUGUUCUUGGGUAGAAAUAAUAUGUGCACAAAAUUCUGUUUAGAAAAUAUUAAAAAAAAACCCUGGCCAGCCCUCCCCUCGGCCUGGUGGCCUGCUGGCUGAGGCCCAUUUCCCUCUCCCACCCCGUAGCUCAGUUUUUCCCCCUUGACCUCCUUCCCCUCCCCGGCCCGUUAGCGCGGCCCAGUGCCCUCCCCUUUCCCCUUUGAGCUCGGCCCGCGCACCUUCUCUCCCUGGCCGGCUGACAGGCGGGCCCCUUCUGGCAGCGCUCGUCUCCCUCCUCUCGCCGUGGGCGAGUAGGACUCGACCGAGAGUCUGUCUCCGAUUUCCAUCCCGAGAUCGGCAGGAUUGCUCUUGCCUUUUUUGUGCCAACCGAGACCCUAUAAGACCCCUAGCUUUGCUCCACGCAUCGUCUUUCCCACCCGCGCCACGUAAGCCAAGCCCUAGUCGGCCGCAACGCACGGUUCGAAUCUUGCCAAGGUUGGAAGUGAGCUGCCGCACGCCGCGAGCCAUUCCAUGGCGCCGCCGCGGGAGCUCCACUCCGGCCGGACCGCCGCCCGACACCCUGGACGCGCCCGAUGCCGUCCGUUUGAAGAUCGACGGCCAGGAAACGAAGAUACCCUUUCGGCUGACAAAAUUCUUUAAGAGUCCCUGAACUUUUCUGUUUUUACUCCGCGGUCCUUGGCGCACUGCACAAGAUUACGCUUUCCAACUGCGAAAGCGUACUCCCCGGUUGAGAUCAAAGGCGUUUUCAGCUAUUUACAGUUUUGUCACUGAACUUAAAUUGCUUAUAAAAUACUCAUUUUAACUCCGUUUUUGUCCAUUCAAAUUGCGUUAGGUUCGCGAUUACGAGCUCUACAUGUUAGAAGUAUUAGUUUACUGUUUUGAAACAUUUAAAUUCUGCAGUAGCAUUUAAUUAAUUAUUUCUCUAUAGGAAAUCUUGGAAAAUUCAUAUCUUCUCCGUUUUAAUUCCGAUUUUCGUGAACUUUACGUUUGUGUGUUCGUAGCGCUGCGUAGAAUAUUUUCAUAAACUUUUAUAUUUGUUUUACCACUGUUUAGUGUAAUGUUCUAAUUAUAACUUGUUUGCUUCGUGUAUGAUUGUCUACAUUGGAUUUUGGAUUGCGUGUUGUUGAUUGAUGUUUGGGAAUAGACGGUGAGCCGUACGUUGGUGAUCAAGACCAAGCUUUUGAAGACCAGCAGGCUCAGGAGAGCUUUGAGCAAGGCAAGUAUAAUUUGGGAUCAUCCUUGUUACCUAUUCACUUAUAACUAUACAUAUAUGUCAUAUGCAUGCUAUCCCCUUGUCGACCUUAGCAAAAUCAUAGAUGAUUGUUACCUGGAUUCCUUGUUACCUACUUGAUAUGCAUUUGGUGUAGAUGUGCUAGUGCUUGAUAUAAUCCAUGAUCUUGUAAGAUUGUUAAUAACUAUGCAAUGAACGUUAAAAGAUGACAAAUAACUAUAUGAGAUCUUGUCUGUAAGUGAUCACCGAGACAACAGUGCAACCAUGAGGGCUAUAAUGGCUCUGGCUUUAGCUCAGUAUGAAGACCUUUUCUAGCUUGUUAGAGGUUACCCAAAAGGGCGGAGGGGCUGAACCGUUUUUGGUAUAGUGUGGCCUCUGUCUGUAUGUGUAUAGGCUGCGCGUCAUUGUGCCAUCGAAAGGGGGGCUCUAUAUCUGCGCAUCAAGGAAACCUUGCGGUUAGACGAACUUUUGAAAGGUUUCAUAGUGAUCCCUGCCGACCUUCCUAGGAAGGGAGUUAAGAGAUUAGCUACCUCGGGCAAAAGGGUAAAUCAUGACUCAUAGGUAAAGAUGUACGACCUCUAGCCGUGCUCACGGUUAUGAGCGGCCUUGGGGUUCUUGCUGCGAUGACGAUGAGCUUCUUAAGUUGUUAUGUUCAUUUGAUUAUCGUUUAUGCUAAGAAUUAAUUAUGCUUACACUUGAUCAUGUGAUUAAUGAAUUAUUUCUACUACCUUGACAUUUGCUAUUUAAUUAUGAAUAUGCUAUCCACUAUUAAAAGCUAAAUGCAGUCAAACCAGUGUCAGCUAUUUGAGCCUCAUGAACCACUGGUUAUACUUGUUGAGUACGAUAUGUGCUCACUCUUGCAAUUUUCCAACACCCCAGUUUAUGCUAAUGAUGAUGAUUGGAACGAGGAUUAUCGCUAUGAGUACUAGGUUUGGAGUCAAUCAGUCAACAGUGUCCCUAUGUGGAGCUUCCGUCGAGAGCGUUGUUUACUUUAUGCUAUUAUUUUUGUAUGAGACUAUGUGAUAUCUUAUAUUCCGCUAUGUAAUAAACACUGCAACGGUACAUUUGAGAUUUGUCUACUUAUGUGUGCGACUGUUUCUGGGGCACAUAUGAGUCUUUUAUGCAUCUAUCCGAUCCAGUACGUCGUCCGGCUGCUUUGUGCGAUGCCGAUGCCUACUUUUCUUCUACUCCUAGAAAGCAAUAGCGCACCACCGCUUUGUGCGUCGUCCAGCUGCUGUCAUCGGCACCCCACCACCGCUACCUUCUUCCUCGCCUUUUCUAGCUCGAUUCCGUCCACAGCACGAACGAACGACGACAUGCCACAAGCAACCACGACGAUUGGGCAAAGAAAAACUCGUGACGACGACACGCACACGACAACCAGGCCACCGGUCGUCGUCGUGUGCAUGUCGUCGACGACGGAUCGAUCAGACGCAACUAGUACUACGCACCGUGCUCGUAGACGAAGCCGUCGAAGCUGGAGCAGCCAGGCCCGCCGUUGAGCCACAGAACGACGGGGUCCUUGGCAGGGUCACGCUCCGACUCCACCAGGUAGUAGAAGAGCCUCCUACCGUGCGCCUCGUCCACCGUCACGUACCCGGCGUAGUGCUUCGACGGCAGCUGCGCGCCGCCGCCCGACGCGUACCCCGGGACGCUCGUCACCAGCGCACCCGGCGGCGCGGCGUGGCAGCAGCGAGGGAAAAAGGCCGAGGACACCACUACUACUACCACCAGCAGCAGCAGCGGCGGCGGGAGUGGUAGAGGAGCAGCGGUAGAGCCGCCGCGUGCCAUUGCUGCGAGAGUGUGUGGGAGCUCGGUGCGCGCGGAGCUAGGAGUGACGAUUCUGUGCCCUGACCGGAAUGGAUGGAGCGCGUUUAAAUACAGAAGAUGAGC
RNAcentral lists this long non-coding RNA (42658 nucleotides) under Sorghum bicolor (sorghum). RNAcentral describes it as "long non-coding RNA (SBIC_LNC013724)". The stretch from base 16079 to 16185 matches the Rfam family "Plant small nucleolar RNA R71". The record is from RNAcentral. Lineage: Eukaryota; Viridiplantae; Streptophyta; Magnoliopsida; Poales; Poaceae.